GCCGGCUUAGCUCAGUUGGUAGAGCAUCUGAUUUGUAAUCAGGGGGUCAGGGGUUCAAAUCCUCUAGCCGGCACCA
This 76-nucleotide transfer RNA is filed under the name Rhodospirillaceae bacterium. RNAcentral's name for it is "tRNA-Thr". It matches the Rfam family "tRNA". Rfam says of the family: Transfer RNA (tRNA) molecules are approximately 80 nucleotides in length. Their secondary structure includes four short double-helical elements and three loops (D, anti-codon, and T loops). The record is from RNAcentral. Lineage: Bacteria; Pseudomonadati; Pseudomonadota; Alphaproteobacteria; Rhodospirillales; Rhodospirillaceae.